Molecule: long non-coding RNA, 1641 nt
Organism: Salvelinus fontinalis (brook trout)
Lineage: Eukaryota; Metazoa; Chordata; Actinopteri; Salmoniformes; Salmonidae
Exons: 3
Source: RefSeq, a predicted model, not a curated record
CACCCUGUCGUGCCGUGCGGUUCCUGUGGAGGUCCACCAAGGUGUCCAUGAGCCCCAAAACAGACAGCCCUUCAGAGACCCCAACUAGCCGAUAUACAGCCAGGGUCAGAGGAGUACGCUGCAGGCAGGGCCUACCUUCUGCACUCCUUCCCUGCACUAAACUGUCGCUACGUCAUCCCUUGCUUCGUGUCCGCCAGGCCACAUCCUGCAGGUAGGAUACUGUACACACUAUAGCAACAUGUAGAUCCUGGAGAUCCAUGGAGAUACUAUACAAUAUAAAAUGUACUGUACAAACUAAAACUCCUUUGUGAAGCUAUUCAAUAUCAACUUUACUGUACACACUACAACUCCAUUGAGAUCCUAGUCAAUAUCAACUUUACUGUUGUCCCACAUUUGGGUAUUUUUUUAAUGUGGUCACCCUAGUUGUUGUAUUGCUGACGAGCUUUCUUCUGUUCCAACGGCCUUCUCAACACGCUGUACCUGGAGCUGCAUUUCCCAGUCAUCAGGCCCCCCUAGUGGUCAAUCAACUACAACCAGGUGGCUGUGGGGACCCAGAACUACAGCGGUCUAAGUGUGUUCAGUGUGAUGCCCACAGAGGGCGCCAUCACCCCAGGAAAGAGCCAGGACAUCACUGUGACCUUCCUGUCAGACCACGAGAGCCUCCACUACCUGGUCAGACUGGCGGUGGAGCUCAUGAACAAGGUGCCACAGAAUCAAAUAAUCUAACUCUCAUUAAGACACACUGUGUCUGAAAUGGCUCCCUACUAAUUCCAUAUAUAGUGCACUACUUUUCACCAUAGGGCCAUGAUCUAAAUAAAUGCCCUAUAUAGGGAAUAUGGUGCCAAUUUGGACACAACCAACACCUCUGCUUAUUUUUUUUUAUGUUUAUAGUGCAGUGUUCAAAUUAAACUUUAUUUAAACCCCCCAUCACCAACCCAGUGGCAGUCCUAAGAGAUGAUGCAGUCAGUGAGAGCAAGGCCUAAGAAUUACAGGCAAUCUAACUUUACUAGGCCACUCAUCUCCUCCCUUUAGGACAGCAGCAGUGCUAGGCCGCAGUGCUCACGUACGCACACACAUAGCUGAAUAUAGAGCAUGUUUUCAGUAUGAACCAGUUUCCUGAUACAGGCUUUUAUAUUUGGUUGGCAAUAAAUGGGAAGGUGUCUAAUGCAGGAGUUCAGUAUAACUAUAAAAUUAUUUACUGACGCAGGAUGUUUCAGAUGUAAUCACUAUUUCAGACUGUAAAGAUAAAUUGACCCCUUUUCUGUCACUAUGGAUUGUAUAAACAGAGCAUGGGCUGCUCUAACACCCUGCCGCUCCUUCUCUCAGAGAACAGUGUGUGUCAUGGUGCUGAAGGGUGCUGCUCGCUCUCACACUAUUUACCUGUGUGGAGGAGACCCACUGGCAGUGCCCACUGAUGCCCUCCAACCUCCUGGGAUUUUGAGCCCACAAAUAAGUAAGUCUCUCUCUCUCUCGUCACUGUGAAUCUGUUUAGCCUGUUCUCUUCUCCCUGUGUAGUAAACUGGGAGAAGCCCCCCCUGCCUGUGCUGCUCCUCACCCUCAGAAGGGUCUACUGAGAGGGGGCCGUGACCCCAGCGGUCAGAGAGCUGGAUGUGGGCGGCAUCCGCUCCACAUCCCUUGGUG